Molecule: ribosomal RNA, 511 nt
Filed under: Laccotrephes japonensis
Lineage: Eukaryota; Metazoa; Arthropoda; Insecta; Hemiptera; Nepidae
Description: SSU rRNA
Rfam family: Eukaryotic small subunit ribosomal RNA
Source: RNAcentral
UUGUCUCAAAGCUUAAGCCAUGCAAGUCUCAGUACAAACCGAACUAAGGUGAAACCGCAAACGGCUCAUUAAAUCAGUUUUAGUUUACUUGAGCGUAAACUAUCCGUUUUUGGAUAACUGUGGCAAUUCUAGAGCUAAUACAUGCAACCGAGUCCUGACCAGUGAUGGAAGGGGCGCUUUUAUUAGAUCAAAAUCAAUCGGCCGUCCGGUCCGUUUGACUUGAUGACUCUGAAUAACACAGCGGAUCGCACGGUCUCCGUACCGGCGACUCAUCUUUCAAAUGCCUGACUUAUCAACUGUCGAUGGUAGAUUCUACGUCUACCAUGGUUGUAACGGGUGACGGGGAAUCAGGGUUCGAUUCCGGAGAGGGAGCCUGAGAAACAGCUACCACAUCCAAGGAAGGCAGCAGGCACGCAAAUUACCCACUCCCGGCACGGGGAGGUAGUGACAAAAAAUAACGAUACGGGACUCAUCCGAGGCCCCGUAAUCGGAAUGAGAACACUCUAAAUCA